RNAcentral lists this long non-coding RNA (819 nucleotides) under Phascolarctos cinereus (koala). RNAcentral's name for it is "lncRNA (ENSPCIG00000033275.1)". Lineage: Eukaryota; Metazoa; Chordata; Mammalia; Diprotodontia; Phascolarctidae. The record is from RNAcentral.
CAACAUUUUCAAGAAUGUGUUUUUAUCCAGGCUAAGGGUGCUUUCUCAUCUUUUUUCCUUCUCAGUCAUCAAGUGCAUAUAAAGGGAGGGUCCACGCCCAGGGUUGCCAAGCAGUGGGCAUCCUGCAAACUCUAAGUCUAUUCCUGAAAGUGUUCUCCUCCUAUGUCCAAGGACCAUGGUCUCCUUGGUGGUCCUCUCCAUCCUCAUCAUCUUGGUAGCAGGCCUGUGCUUUGAACCCAAGCAUGUUACCCUGGCAACUCCAAGACUCUAAGCAAGACCAGUGUUGAUCUACCUUGGUGGAGGGAAUUUCCAUACUAGGAUGCUUACACCCCAAUUGAAGGAUUCCAACCCAAAAGAUCAUUCUUCCAAUCAUUUUGCCUGUCUGUGAGACAUGUAACACUAAAGUCUCUGAAGAACUGAGACCUAAGGACAGUGGAGAGGAGUCAAAAGAAUCAUCUGAGGAUCACCUAGAUUCAGAAUGACCGUGUCUUCACUUUGCUCCUUCUCUUACACACAGACAUGACACCCCAAAGGACUGCUGCUUCCACUAUUCCUCUUGCAAGAUUCCCAGUGUAGUUGCUUGUUAUGAGACCAGCAGCUGGUGCCCCAAGCCAGGAGUCAUGGUCAUCACCAAGACACAGCGCCAGUUCUGUGUCCACCCAAGGAAUGUCACAAACUGUGGCAUUUCCCUACUACCAGAGAAAGUCCUAGAGAUGGAAAUCUUCUAGAAGAUUAUGGAAUACCAUUCUCAGAUAACACCUCCCUAUAUAUGCAUAUGAUUUCUCAAAAAUAAACUUACAUUGGACUUAAUAGGACUCA